UGCCAGUUCUGUAAUUUGGAAGUGGC
RNAcentral lists this non-coding RNA (26 nucleotides) under Rattus norvegicus (Norway rat). Lineage: Eukaryota; Metazoa; Chordata; Mammalia; Rodentia; Muridae. The record is from RNAcentral.